AAGUCGAACGCAUUGUCGUGAUUAUGAUUUGUUAAGCUUGCUUAACAUUGAUUAAUCACUAUACAAUGAAGUGGCGAACGGGUGAGUAACACGUGGGAAACCUACCUCUUAGCAGGGGAUAACAUUUGGAAACAGAUGCUAAUACCGUAUAACAAACAAAACCGCAUGGUUUUGUUUUUAAAAGAUGGUUCUGCUAUCACUAAGAGAUGGUCCCGCGGUGUAUUAGCUAGAUGGUGAGGUAACGGCUCACCAUGGCAAUGAUACAUAGCCGAGUUGAGAGACUGAUCGGCCACAUUGGAACUGAGACACGGUCCAAACUCCUACGGGAGGCAGCAGUAGGGAAGUCUUCCACAAUGGGCGCAAGCCUGAUGGAGCAACGCCGCGUGUGUGAUGAAGGGUUUCGGCUCGUAAAACACUGUUAUAAGAGAAGAAACGUCAGUGAGAGUAACUGUUCAUUGAGUGACGGUAUCUUAUCAGAAAGGGACGGCUAAAUACGUG
RNAcentral lists this ribosomal RNA (498 nucleotides) under uncultured Weissella sp. Its description in RNAcentral is "bacterial SSU rRNA". It matches the Rfam family "Bacterial small subunit ribosomal RNA", at positions 26 to 507 of the family's 1533-position model. The record is from RNAcentral. Lineage: Bacteria; Bacillati; Bacillota; Bacilli; Lactobacillales; Lactobacillaceae.